AUGUGCCCCCAGGGCUGGGCAGAGGGGCAGGAUCACCCCAGAUGUGCCCCCAGGGCUGGGCAGAGGGGCAGGAUCACCCCAGAUGUGCCCCCAGGGCUGGGCAGAGGGGCAGGAUCACCCCAGAUGUGCCCCCAGGGCUGGGCAGAGGGGCAGGAUCACCCCAGAUGUGCCCCCAGGGCUGGGCAGAGGGGCAGGAUCACCCCAGAUGUGCCCCCAGGGCUGGGCAGAGGGGCAGGAUCACCCCAGAUGUGCCCCCAGGGCUGGGCAGAGGGGCAGGAUCACCCCAGAUGUGCCCCCAGGGCUGGGCAGAGCACGGCAGGGGCAGUUUCUGGUGAGGUGGAUUGUGCCUCACCUUGGGCUCAGCUCAAAGCCACAGUGACAUUCCAGGAUUUCUCAAACACAACGACGUGGAAGCACCUCAGGGUGAAAUUUUCUUACUAAGGAAGGAGCUGAAAUAAAUUCUAUUCUGAGAUUAUAACGUGUGCUAGAGACCCCAGAGUCCCAGAGUGGGUCAGGCUGGAAGGGACCUCAGUGGGUCCCAUCUGGUGCCACCUCCCUGCUCCAGCAGGGCCACCCCAGAGCUCAGGGCACAGGAACAUCCCCAGGGAGGACACUCCACCCCUCUGGAAUUGCUGGGCUCUGUCCCUGCCUGCUCCUCUGGUGCCACUGCUGGGCCCUGGGGCAGAGCCUGGGCCCUGCUCUGCCCCUCCCUAAACACAGGGACAGACAGGGACACUCAGGGACACCCAGGGACAGACAGAGACACCCAGGACCCUCUCAGCCAGGGCUCCUCUCCAGGCUGAGCAGUACCAGCUCCCUCAGCCUUUCCUGAGAUGCUCCAGCCCUUUCUCAUCUUCACAUUCCUCCUCUGGAGCUCCUGUCCCUGCUGUCCCUGAUCCCUGUCUGGACACAGCACCCCAGAUGUGCCCCCAGGGCAGGGCAGAGGGGCAGGAUCACCCCAGAUGUGCCGGGGGGGGGGGGGGGGGGGGGGGGGGGGGGGGGGGGGGGGGGGGGGG
This 1016-nucleotide long non-coding RNA is filed under the name Ficedula albicollis (Collared flycatcher). RNAcentral describes it as "lncRNA (ENSFALG00000027636.1)". Lineage: Eukaryota; Metazoa; Chordata; Aves; Passeriformes; Muscicapidae. The record is from RNAcentral.